Ictidomys tridecemlineatus (thirteen-lined ground squirrel) is the source of this 5063-nucleotide non-coding RNA. The record is from RefSeq and is a predicted model, not a curated record. NCBI's taxonomy places the organism in Eukaryota, Metazoa, Chordata, Mammalia, Rodentia, Sciuridae.
GGACGAGGUGGUCACUACCUGGUAAUCGUCCCCAAAUUUCCUUCGGAUUGCAGACAUAAUAUGGAGGGGCGAGCCAGAUUCAAACGCGAAGCGAAGGCGCAGGAGCCAAGCGCUGCAAACCAGCACCAAUAAAAAGGAUUACAUAAGAAAGGAAAGUGACACCGUGGGAAGUGAAAACUGCUCUGGUCCUGGAAUCAUAAGACCUGAUUUGGAUCCUGGCUGUGUCAUGUACAAGCUGUGUGACCUUGAGCAAGUAGCUGAACAAUUUUAAGCUCCAUUUUUCUCCUCUAAAAAAAAUGAAAGGUUUACAUUUUCCCAGUAUUGAUAGAAAAAAAAUAGAAUGAAUGUGGUUUUAUUAUUUCAGCUGUGACUGAUGUUAUAUACCUGACGGCUAAGUUUCAGCAAAGCCAAGAAGAGAUUGUGAAUGAGUUUUGGGAGUUAACAUUAUGCUGUGAACUAACAUAUAUUCCCAUCUACUCUCUGACUACAACCUCAUCCUAGCUCACUUUGCCCUUUACAAUUGUCUUCUUUCAAUUCCUGAAACACAUCAAGGCAUACUAACCCAACCCUAGGCAUCUGCCCUGUUUUCUCCUUCUUCAAUGUCCUUGUCCUACUACUCCGUGUUGCUGUUUCUUUAAGUCAUUCAGCACUAAACCCAAGUGCAUCUUCCUUGGGGUAUCCUCCCCUAGUGUCGCAGGUACUGCUUACCACAUCAACUGGGUUCAUUUUCAUUUUUUUUUUUUUACUUUUUUCUAGUUGCUGUUUUCUUCAUUUGUUUGAUGUCUCUCUCCCCCAUCAUUACCAAGUAUAGAAUGUAGGCUCUAUGAGAGCAAGGACCCUGUCUUGUUCUCUGGUAUAUCCCCAAUAUCUAGAACAGUACUCGUCUCAUACUAGGUUCAAAGUGUUUGUUGGAUGAGUGACAUAUGACAAUCUAUGUCACUAGAAGCCCAACAUGCAUUGCAGCUCUCUCUCUAGUAAAUCAGAAUGAAAUCAGGUUACUUACAUGGUUUAACAUAAAAGAAAUGUAUACCCAAAAGAAAAGAUUAAUACUUCCUAUGCUCAUUAGCUUCAGAUUUGAUAUUCAAUCAUGUCCCAAGUCCUUUUAUUUUGAUGUAAUAUCUCUCAGAUGAUUCCCUCUCUCUCUUUAAAACAUUACCAGUAACCUUUUAUGCCCACACUCAAAUUAUUCUCCUGACUUUAUUGUCUUUCUUUCCUUCAGACUAUCCUAGGUAGUAUUAUUAAAUGUAUUGCCUUAAAAUAAUAAAGUAGCAUUGAAACAAAUACCCAAGUAUUCUCUAGUUACUUCCAUUUUCAAGAUUUAAAUAUUCCCUUUAAAAAAAAACUGUUCCAUGAAAAAUAUUUGUCAUUUUAUAACAACCAAAUUUAUAGACAAAUAAUUUUAUAUUUUAAAAGACAUGCCUGAUCCUUUCAUUUUACAAAUGAGCAAAUUGAGGCUUUGCCAUCCCUUGUCAACAGAGUUAGAAAGGAGUGGAAGAUUUCUGACCCAUAGAUAGGAUCCCCCUCCUCUUUAGAGCAUGUCUCAUUUAUGUCCUAGCCUUGUCUUCCAGAUUAUUUCCUACCUUUCCUUUAACGUGUGCUCUACUCUAGCCAAUUUUAAUGAUUAGCAAUUCUCAAAAUAUGUCCCAUAUUAAUUUCAUUUGUUCACCUUAUUUCUCAUCCAUUAGAUGAACACCCAAAUUCCCAGCACUAAAAAUAAAAAUUAAUAUAUAUAUUCUGUAUUUAUAUCUAGAUAAUAUAUUAAUAUAUUAUUAUUUAUUAUUAUUAAUAUAUAUAAUUAUAUAUAUUCUGUAUUUAUAUCUAUCCCUGAGAAGUCCAAAUUACAGUGACUAGUGUGCAAGAAAAUAAAAGAAUUUCUUCAUAUUUUAUUUCAAUUGCUACUUCUUAUCCUCCCACUAACAGCAUUCUAUCAUUUCUCUAAAUUCCCAUUUUCCUAGAUUCGUAAUACAGCAUUUUUCACAUUAUGGUAGAUACUUCAGGUUAGAAUUACCCAGUACUGUCCCUGUGGAAGGGAAAGCACCCUGAGCAUUCCCCUGAUAAUGUUUUGACACCAUCAUCUACUCCGGUGAUCCAUCUCAGUCUUGCAUAUGGUAAAUAUUUAAUAGAGUUUCAAGGAGGACUAACAUUUAUUAAGAACCUACUUGAUGUGCCAGGCAACAUGCUUGGAACUUUAAGGUUAGUAUGUGUAUUACACAGCUAAAAAUACAGUGGAGCAGAAUUUCCAAAACACAUCUGCUCAUAUCCAAGAUCUCUAUUCUCUUACAUACACAGGACUACCUGAUAAGUUAUGUAUUUUUCAAGAUGCCAUCAUAUCCCACUUUAAAUGUGAUUGAGGCUUUGACCUCUUUGUGACAUUAAGUCCAACUCCUUGAAAUUAUUUACAGAAUUCAUCUUUCCCUGUGAGGACAGCUGCUUCCAGGAUGAGGUUCUGGAGGGCAGCCAGCCUCAUGUGCCCAGGCUAGGCGGUAUGUGUAGGGAGUGCAUUGCAGAAGGCCGCCUAAUCAGGUGCUCUCAGUUGAGCCAAAGUAAAGCACAUCUCAUCCUGGAAGCCUAGGUCAAAGCCGAAUGGGUCAAAGCAGGGAGAGGCACAGAAUUUCAGGCCAGGAUACUAAACCAGAAAAAUCUGAAAAAUAUAACUGCAGAAUACACAGUCAUUUGGAGUCUAACAUUUAAAGAGAGGGUGGUAGAUUGUAAACAAACUAACAGAGUUCAUGGGGGCGGGGAGACCAAAGCUAUAUUUAAUAACAAACUACUCACAUAAGAGCAAGCUACAUUUUUAUUCUGCCUAGAAAAUACUCUGGCAAUGUCUUCUUUACUUUGUCCAGAAUUAGUAAUAUCAUGAAUAAAUAACUUCAAAAAUGAAGGAUAAGAUUUUGUAUUUUCUACUAAAAAGGCAUGACUUUGUACAUGCACUCAUCUUAUUAUGUAACUGAACAGUGUGGGGAAAAGAGUAUAUUGAAUCAAAAAGUAAAAACCUGCCCCUGAGAAGUCCAAAUUCUAAAAAUGACUUAAUCAGCCAACUGUGACAAAAGCAAGGCUUUGAACACCUCAAUAUACCUGGAGUCUGUAUUCUCGUCAUUCACUUAACUGCCACAGUGACACAUCAUGUGACAGUCUUCAAGGUCAGAAACAUUAAUUACUCUCAGAGGAAAAUAUUUUUAUAUUCUAUUUAGGAGGUUUACUCCUAAUCCUACCAUUUUCCCCAAAGUACAAUGCAGGGACGGACCUACCUGAAAAUCUUUCAUGCUUCAAAAGGUGACAUGCUACCACUGCCACCAUAAGUUUUUCUAUAUCUGGGAAGAGGUCACUCUUUGAAAUUCUAUAUGCAAUUUUAGGAAAUAGAAUGGUGUUCCUCUUUUUUUUUUAACCCUCCUAAAAAAGAAUACUGAAGUUAUUUUCUCUCUUGCCAAAAAAAGAAGAAAAAAAAUGAAAAGGAGGAAUCAGUUUGAGAUUUGAUUGCACAGACUUGAGAACAGAGGCAUUGCCAUACCAUGCCAGAUGACUCAUGAAACCUUUAAUCUUGACUCCAAACUCUGGCCUCUGCCUGAGGAUUCAGAGAAAGGCAAUAAGCCACUGUCACUUGGAGGCCAUUUAGUUAGCAAGGUUUUCCCAACUUAAACUCUCUCUUUACUGCAAACCUGUACCUUAGAGUACUCUGGUAUUUGAAAGAAUGAGGACUUUUUUAAGAGUCUCCUGGAACUCAACAUCCUUUAAGAGAAAAUAAUUGUUUAAUCAGACCUAGAGGUUUGUUGGCAGGGCAUUAAGAACAACAACAACAAAAAGUAUCCAGUGCUUACCCAAGUCAUGCAGUUGUACUCCUGAGGAAUUAAUUGUCCUUUGAUAACCCCAGUGAAGACCCAGAUGUCAAAACAUGUACAAGAAUGUUGCUUACUUAAUACAAUAGACAAUGCAUAGAUAUACUGGCCACUGUGUCAGUAGUUGUACAGGUCAGAAAAGAAGAAGACAUCAUGCCAACAACAUGUAUUAGCAAUAAUAUUUAAUACACUGUGGUGAAUACUUACAGGAAGAGGACUGUUUUAUUAGCAAUCGGAAGAAUGAGUCCCUUUAGGGAACACUGCUCUAGCUUGUGGGAGUUUUCCAAACCUAUCAAAUUGGAAUCGCUUACAUUUUGUUCAGCACACAACUACCUCUGUUCAAACUACUUUAUUUCAGAACUGGGACAAUACAUUUUUGAUAACAAGAUUUCUAAAAAGAGAAGAUUUCUACACAAUUAAGAAUAAAAUAUAAAAAUAAUUUGUAUCCGUAUCUAAUAUUUAGAAAAUAGUAAUGCAACUUUUAUAUUUUUAAAAAACUAUCUUAGGUAAUUAAGAAAGAUUGUGUGAGUGCAGCUUGUCUGGAAAGAAGAUAUUAAGAAGAAGCUGGGGCGAGAGAUUUCUUGGAAGGCAAAGCCUAGGACUAGUGAAAGGGAAGGAAAAGGAUGAGGCCGAGAGAUGCUUCAACUGGGAUACAGCUGUCACACUUGUGCUAUGGUUUGGAUGUAGUUUGAGGGUCUUUCCAAAGGGUUCAUGUGUGUUGAAAUUUAAUAGCUAUUGUAUUCAGAGGGUGGAAACUUAACUUGAUUAUGGCAUUUACUUUGGGAAGUGAUGGGAUUAGAAAAGAUUAUUAGGUUGGGGACUUCAUUGAACACUAGGGGCUCCUAAAAAGGCACAGAGACCAGAGGACCAGAGGAUGUAAGUACAGGUGUGAUCCUUGUCUUGUGGUCUCUCUUUGUCAUGUGAUGUCCUGGGCCUUUUCAGAACUCUGUUCAGCAAGACCACUAUCACAAGACGCAGGCCCUUGAACCUCCAGACCUAUGAGUUAAACAAACCUCUUUUCUUUAUUAUGUUAGCCUCAAGUAUGAAGUUGCAGAAAAAAAGAAUGGACUAGUAUUCCCAUGUAAGAGACUCAAACUCAGUGGGGAGCUUCAGAGCAGAAGUCACCAACUUUAGGCAGAGAUGGUCUAGUCCUAAUGGCUUCCUGAGCUACCGCUCACUGAGGGCUGCCUUUGGAAGAGCAUGUAUACUGCAACAGAUAUAAAAAAAAAA